GUGAAGGUACGUCUAAUUGGUAAGGCAGCCGACUGUAAAUCGGUCAGAUUUAUAUCUACUGGAGGUUCAAGUCCUCCCCGUCACA
Molecule: non-coding RNA, 85 nt
Organism: Triticum urartu
Lineage: Eukaryota; Viridiplantae; Streptophyta; Magnoliopsida; Poales; Poaceae
Source: Rfam